AAGACUAUACUUUCAGGGAUCAUUUCUAUAGUAUCCAACUAAAGAAAUGCACUCGAAAGUGAUCGGCUGUUAAUCACAGCAGCAAGGUUGU
Small nucleolar RNA from Crotalus tigris (Tiger rattlesnake), 91 nucleotides. RefSeq annotates it as small nucleolar RNA U3. The record is from RefSeq and is a predicted model, not a curated record. NCBI's taxonomy places the organism in Eukaryota, Metazoa, Chordata, Lepidosauria, Squamata, Viperidae. The transcript has a single exon.